Molecule: ribosomal RNA, 305 nt
Filed under: uncultured bacterium
Lineage: Bacteria
Description: bacterial SSU rRNA
Rfam family: Bacterial small subunit ribosomal RNA
Source: RNAcentral
UUGCCUACGGGACGCAGCAGCCGCGGUAAUACGGAGGAUGCGAGCGUUAUCCGGAUUUAUUGGGUUUAAAGGGUGCGCAGGCGGAGGUGCAAGUCAGUGGUCAAAUUGCGGGGCUCAACCCCGUACUGCCGUUGAAACUGCAUCCCUUGAGUGCGCGAGAAGUAUGCGGAAUGCGUGGUGUAGCGGUGAAAUGCAUAGAUAUCACGCAGAACUCCGAUUGCGAAGGCAGCAUACCGGCGCGCAACUGACGCUCAUGCACGAAAGCGUGGGUAUCGAACAGGAUUAGAAACCCUAGUAGUCCGAAG